RNAcentral lists this ribosomal RNA (252 nucleotides) under uncultured bacterium. Its description in RNAcentral is "partial 16S ribosomal RNA". It matches the Rfam family "Bacterial small subunit ribosomal RNA", at positions 524 to 776 of the family's 1533-position model. The record is from RNAcentral.
UACGGAGGAUGCGAGCGUUAUCCGGAUUCAUUGGGUUUAAAGGGUGCGUAGGCGGGCUGUUAAGUCAGCGGUAAAAGCCCGGGGCUCAACCCCGGCGAGCCGUUGAAACUGGCUGUCUUGAGAUGUCGAGAGGUAUGCGGAAUGCGCAGUGUAGCGGUGAAAUGCUUAGAUAUUGCGCAGAACUCCGAUUGCGAAGGCAGCAUACCGGCGGCGAUCUGACGCUGAGGCACGAAAGCGUGGGUAUCGAACAGG